UAGGGAAUCUUCGGCAAUGGACGGAAGUCUGACCGAGCAACGCCGCGUGAGUGAAGAAGGUUUUCGGAUCGUAAAGCUCUGUUGUAAGAGAAGAACGAGUGUGAGAGUGGAAAGUUCACACCUGGGACGGUAUCUUACCAGAAAGGGACGGCUAACUACGUGCCAGCAGCCGCGGUAAUACGUAGGCCCCGAGCGUUGUCCGGAUUUUGGGGGUAAAGCGAGAGCGGGGGCGGAAAAAUCAGACUAAAAAUAAAGGGGGUGUGCCUUAACCAUACUACGCUUUGGAAAACUGUUUAACUUGAGGGAAAAAGGAGAGAGUGGAAUUCCAUGUGUAGCGGUGAAUUGCGUAAAUAUAUGGGAGAAACACCGGGGGGCAAAACGCGUCUCUGUGGUUUGUAACUGACGCUGAGGCUCGAAAGCGUGGGGAGCAAACAGGAUUAGAUACCCCUGGUAGUCCACGCCGUAAACGAUGAGUGCUAGGUGUUANACCCUUUCCGGGGNUUAGUGCCGUAGCUAACGCAUUAANCACUCCGCCUGNGAGNANNNAGCGCGNGAU
Molecule: ribosomal RNA, 556 nt
Filed under: uncultured bacterium
Lineage: Bacteria
Description: bacterial SSU rRNA
Rfam family: Bacterial small subunit ribosomal RNA
Source: RNAcentral